AGACUUUAAUUGAAGAGUUUGAUCAUGGCUCAGAUUGAACGCUGGCGGCAGGCCUAACACAUGCAAGUCGAACGGUAACAGGAAGCAGCUUGCUGCUUCGCUGACGAGUGGCGGACGGG
This 119-nucleotide ribosomal RNA is filed under the name Pantoea sp. PSNIH3. RNAcentral describes it as "partial 16S ribosomal RNA". It matches the Rfam family "Bacterial small subunit ribosomal RNA", at positions 1 to 106 of the family's 1533-position model. RNAcentral also lists the same sequence under 2 other names. The record is from RNAcentral. Lineage: Bacteria; Pseudomonadati; Pseudomonadota; Gammaproteobacteria; Enterobacterales; Erwiniaceae.